UCGAGCGAACAGACGAGGAGCUUGCUCCUCUGACGUUAGCGGCGGACGGGUGAGUAACACGUGGAUAACCUACCUAUAAGACUGGGAUAACUUCGGGAAACCGGAGCUAAUACCGGAUAAUAUAUUGAACCGCAUGGUUCAAUAGUGAAAGACGGUUUUGCUGUCACUUAUAGAUGGAUCCGCGCCGCAUUAGCUAGUUGGUAAGGUAACGGCUUACCAAGGCAACGAUGCGUAGCCGACCUGAGAGGGUGAUCGGCCACACUGGAACUGAGACACGGUCCAGACUCCUACGGGAGGCAGCAGUAGGGAAUCUUCCGCAAUGGGCGAAAGCCUGACGGAGCAACGCCGCGUGAGUGAUGAAGGUCUUCGGAUCGUAAAACUCUGUUAUUAGGGAAGAACAAAUGUGUAAGUAACUAUGCACGUCUUGACGGUACCUAAUCAGAAAGCCACGGCUAACUACGUGCCAGCAGCCGCGGUAAUACGUAGGUGGCAAGCGUUAUCCGGAAUUAUUGGGCGUAAAGCGCGCGUAGGCGGUUUUUUAAGUCUGAUGUGAAAGCCCACGGCUCAACCGUGGAGGGUCAUUGGAAACUGGAAAACUUGAGUGCAGAAGAGGAAAGUGGAAUUCCAUGUGUAGCGGUGAAAUGCGCAGAGAUAUGGAGGAACACCAGUGGCGAAGGCGACUUUCUGGUCUGUAACUGACGCUGAUGUGCGAAAGCGUGGGGA
Molecule: ribosomal RNA, 723 nt
Filed under: uncultured Staphylococcus sp.
Lineage: Bacteria; Bacillati; Bacillota; Bacilli; Caryophanales; Staphylococcaceae
Description: bacterial SSU rRNA
Rfam family: Bacterial small subunit ribosomal RNA
Source: RNAcentral